UACGUAGGGUGCAAGCGUUGUCCGGAAUUAUUGGGCGUAAAGAGCUCGUAGGCGGUCUGUCACGUCGGCUGUGAAAGUCCGGGGCUCAACUCCGGAUCUGCGGUGGGUACGGGCAGACUAGAGUGAUGUAGGGGAGACUGGAAUUCCUGGUGUAGCAGUGGAAUGCGUAGAGAUCCGGAAGAACACCGGAGGCGAAGGCGGCUUGCUGGACCUGGUCUGACGCUGAGGCGCGAAAGCGUGGGGAGCGAACAGG
This 253-nucleotide ribosomal RNA is filed under the name uncultured bacterium. Its description in RNAcentral is "partial 16S ribosomal RNA". It matches the Rfam family "Bacterial small subunit ribosomal RNA", at positions 524 to 776 of the family's 1533-position model. The record is from RNAcentral.